ACACAUAAACGUCAGCAUUUAUAAUUGGUUGGUGCAUUAACGUUUCAUCAUUGACCAUUGUUUAUUCAAUUACAAUGGUUUCACGUUCCCAACAAUUGAUUUGUUAACGCGCGGAAAGAACGACUAUUAAUUUCAUAUUUGCCUUUCAUAAAACCUCUCUAGUACUUAUUUACAGCAUUCCAAUUCCGUACGUACGGUUCAUGGUCUCACAAUUCCAAGAUACUUUAAAAAUGCUAUAUUAGGAGCGUUAGGAUUAUGCCCCCUGGUGUAUAGGCAACUCGUCAUACUCGAUGACUAAAAAAACCGGCCAUGUUUGUUUGCCAUUUUCUAUAUACAGAACAUAAAAAUCUGAAGACGGACGACCAGGAGAACAUGAACUGAGGAAGGAAUAAUUUUCAUUUUUAGGAAGAAUAAUAUAUUGGCUAUAAUAUCGUUUCCUAUAUUUUGUGGUAAAAUUAACCUCAAAUAGUUAUUUACUUUUUAAUUAUUAAAAUGAACGUUUUUUUGUAAUUCUUCUUGCUUUUACAAGUUCAAAAUAAGAAAAUGGAAUUUCAAUUGAAAGUUUUAUUAAUGGAAUCGUCAUAAGUUCGGUUUGGCUUUUGGGUAAAAUGGAACUUAUCGCUCUGGUUCUGCCGAUCCGAAGACCCUGUGGUUCUUUAUGGAUGGGAAAGCAUGCAAAGGAGAAAAGGGGGUCGGAAAUGUAUAGCUAGGUCUGGACAUUACUGUUGAAAGAGAUAUGCAGUGCUCAUAUAGCAGUUAGCAUAAUUAAGACUCACUUUACAUUACCAGAUCGAAAGCUUUGGGUAAAUUUCGAAAUGCAAUUAAUGGUAAACUGAAUCCAAUACCAGAAGUUUCACAAGAAACUUGAGACAAGUACUAAUGGAAGAUUCUUUCCGGUAGUUUUGGAAAAGCGGACACAUUCUGCCAAGGAAGACACGAACCUGGUUAAACUGGCUUACAAGUCUGUAACAGAUGUUCAGUGAGCAGAAGGACUUACCUAUUCAUCACAAAAAGCAAACGAACAUUAGUCGAUUUUGUAGUAUCAGUUUGUUAAACGAUUCCUGUUUGUUUAUUCGUAGUAUAAGUUACGCAUGCAUGAAUUCGCUUAUGCUUUUUUAGAGAUGUAUUUAUUUCAUUAUUAUUCCAAAAGGUUCGAAUUUGGCAAAUAAACAGUCUGUGUAAUUAA
Photinus pyralis (common eastern firefly) is the source of this 1186-nucleotide long non-coding RNA. RefSeq lists it as uncharacterized. The record is from RefSeq and is a predicted model, not a curated record. The transcript is spliced from 2 exons. Lineage: Eukaryota; Metazoa; Arthropoda; Insecta; Coleoptera; Lampyridae.